Conger conger (European conger) is the source of this 671-nucleotide long non-coding RNA. RefSeq lists it as uncharacterized. Lineage: Eukaryota; Metazoa; Chordata; Actinopteri; Anguilliformes; Congridae. The record is from RefSeq and is a predicted model, not a curated record. The transcript is spliced from 3 exons.
GAGAAUGUUCAGCGGUUACCCGGCAUGCUUGUGCGAUGUUUAAGUAGUUCUAAGAUGGCGACCGUGCAUUUGAGAAUCGGAGAUUUGGUUUGGUACCAUUCCACAGCUCCCAUAGGAAUCCAUGGAAGGAUUUACUUACCUCAUUUUUUACUUUCAUUGCCGGGGACUCCUGCCUGCUUCGUUUGUAUGUAUGUGGAACAAGGCCGUCUUCAAGAUCAAGGAUCGACUUAAACGUCUCAGUGUCUGUUUCAUAAUCCUACAAAAUAGCAGACAAUUAAAGCAAAUAGCAGACAUUCAAAUAUUGUAAGUGUAUCUUGUAAGUAAUGUGUAUGAAUAGUUUUAAUUGCAUUACCUUGACUGCUUUCUGGUAGAGUUGAGAAUUUCUUGACACACUUUUUAAAUCAGACUCCUUUCUUGCAAGCUCAGACAACAGGUUCUGAGAAAGGAAAACAGAAAUGGUGAGAAAAACAAUCUGCCGUGAUCUAUGCUGAAAAUGGAAGAUAUGUGAUGCUAAACAUAUAAUAAUAAUAUAAUAGUAAUGAUAAUAAUUGCAGGAGGAGAUGGUAUCAAAAGCAGCAGGCAUCUCAUGUUCUUGAAAUGUAUGAACUGUUGAGGAUACUAUACGGUUGUAAUGUAUGUCAAAUUCUGCUUCAUAAAUGGCAGUUAAAGCA